GUAGGUUUUUUUUUUUCAUUUGUGCUGCUACAUGUGCUUAUUUGUUUAAUGUUUGCAAUUGAACGGAUUUGUGUCAUAUUUAUUACUCUUGCAGAGUAAAAAAACACGCUUUAAAGUUGCUGUUUUAAUAAGUGUGUCAGUCAAACCGUCCCAGUUCAGUUUGUUGCAGCUCUACCUAAUAUAAAAGUCAUUUAGAAUCGGAUUCAAUGAAAAGAUCCGAAUCAAAAUAUUUAUUGGUUCGCGAAUCGGACACCGGUAGAUGCGAGUAAUUUUAUCUCCUCAAGCCGUGAUUGCACGUUGAGAGUCUUGGUCAGAGCUCCAUAAAGCAGACAAACCUGACUUUUCAGCAGCAAGGAAACUACUCUCAUGUCAAGAAAAGAUGUUUGCAAAAUCUGUGGCAUCCUAGAAAGUUCCUCGCACCUUGGCACUGCUGUGGACAGUCAUUCAGACAGUGGUCACAGCGAGGAAGAGUCCAGUAAUAAAGAAUCUACAGUUGUAUCAUCCUGGAUCCCUGAUGCAAGCCAUGUCCCAGAGAAUGACCUUAUCAAGGGUCCAGGUGAAGUUCUGCUGUAUUACUGCUACUGUCAGAUCCUCAGAUCAUUUGUCAGUGGUGUAAUAGUGGGGAAUGCGAAUCCCCAAAGAUACACGGACAAACUCAGUGAGCCUGUAACUGUGUGAUUUUAAGUCUGCAAACUUCUUUUUUUAAAACUGUUGUACCAGUUCAGUCGUGAUUUAAAAAAUGGGACACUAUGCAAAUCUUCAGUAAAUUACAAAUCAAUCUCA
Carassius gibelio (silver crucian carp) is the source of this 783-nucleotide long non-coding RNA. RefSeq lists it as uncharacterized. The transcript has 4 exons. The record is from RefSeq and is a predicted model, not a curated record. NCBI's taxonomy places the organism in Eukaryota, Metazoa, Chordata, Actinopteri, Cypriniformes, Cyprinidae.